CCGAAGUCCAUCGACGAUGGUGCUGCUUCAGGGCGAGGAGCGGUCGGUAUGCGAAGUUUCAAGCGUGCGCACCCUCGUCACCUUUGGCGUGAGCAACAAAGAAAGAAAAAAAAAAACACCUGCCGGUCGCCGUGUUGACAGAAGAACGCGAACGGGUCGGCGUAAAGAUAAGGGUCGGUGCCCGUUAUGCGUUUGUCUCGGCGGCGCAAUGGCUUGAAACAUGCGGCCGAGCCCUCUCUGAGCGACCGCCGCGCGUUCGCAGCCUUCGCCCUUCCGCUGGGGGGGGGGGGGGGGGGGGGACACACACGCGACACGAAGGGCGGUGAUAAGUCAGUAGAGCACGCGGUGUCCGCAGAGACACAUGCAGUCGUGGCCCUUUAUUGCCGGCGCCGACUGGUGUAGAACGGCGCGAGAGAACGUCGAUGUUGGAUGGAUCGGUGCGGCCCACUAUGAUGAACAUCUGCGGAUCCCAAGAGCGGCAGAACGAAGACCCCAGCCUUGCCGCCACGGAACGUAGGAUCGUCAUCGCCCGAUGUCGACCGAGUGAAGUGUCGCUCGACGUACUUGACACCGGGUCUCUCGCCUCCAAGAGAGCAAUCCGUGGACAGUGUGUUAACAAUCGCGACUGUCAUGGAGUCGCUCUCUUUAAGGCGGUACCCACAGUCGCCAUUCGACCAUCCCCCGGGACAACACCACGUCAACGAAGCCUGGCUUCAAGUUUCACGAUCUUCCUGCAUUUCUCAAACGCAUGCGCUGGUUUGUAUGGACGUAUUGAGUUGCACUAAAUUCGACUAGCACAUUUGACUAGACUAGACAAUUGCACAAGAAAGGAAUUCCUGCUCUUCAUGCAGUCGUUGCCAUGCGGUCACAGUCGUUUCAUCGUCUUCAUUCCUUGUGUUACACUGUGCGUCUGCCUGGUUGGUGUCUGGGUUUCGGCAUAGGUUGUGAGCGUUCAAGUGUCUAAACAUAAAAUCGCGUUGCAAUAAAGUUGUGACUCUUGUUGCGGAUAAACAUUAAGAAAGCACCGGAUACAUGUUGCACAGGAUGCCUAACACAUUGGUUCGUGGUUGAGUGUCCUCUUCGGCGACGGGAGGUCGUGGGUUUUAAGCCACGCUGUCACCAGUUACCCACAGGUUAUCCAAAUAGGUACAGGCGUUCCCCAGCCUGACGCUCAGCCUUCUUUAGGGAAUAAAUUACCCUGGGAAAAGAUCCGACGUCAUGCAAAUACAUUCGAACCCCGUGGGCCAAAGGAAAACCUGAAAAAGGAGGUCAUGACCGCUGCCAUGGUGACCAUUUUCCAUGUGGCGUGCCCUAAUGCACCUAUUAGGGGGAGGGGGGGGGGCACCCACGUGUUGAGGUGAAGCAUCCCUUUCCAAGCAUUGGGAUCCCAUAAUGGCGGAGCACAUGACCGGGAAGCGCAGUUGUACCCAUUUGAAUCGAUAGGUACCAGCAGCAAUUCAAGUCUACCUCCCACAGCGGCGGCAAUACCCCUCGCACAUAAAUCUCUUUAGGGCCCCCCUUCUGAGAUUCGAGGCCCUGCAAGUAGCUGAGCACCAGGCCGGGGAACGUCUCUACCCACUAGAGAAACUAGUGGUUUAUCGACUGCACGGGGAGUCGAACCCAGUAGCUCCCCCUUACGAGGCUGAUGCUCCAUCACUACACCACCACUGUGGCACUAUCAUACGCAUCGCGUUUAGUUGCGUAGCAUACAAAAUACAUAUAGCUCCUAGCAUAAGCGAAUAAUGAUUUGCUCAAUACAGCCGUAAUGCGGUGAGUUGCAAUAGGAAAGCGCUGGCUGCAUGUGAUGGAAUAAGUGGUCGAUGCCCUAUGGUAUUCACCUGACACAUUCUUGUUUGUAAAUAAAGAAAGGAACGACUCUUUU
This 1882-nucleotide long non-coding RNA is filed under the name Dermacentor andersoni. RNAcentral's name for it is "uncharacterized LOC126530937". The stretch from base 574 to 659 matches the Rfam family "mir-46/mir-47/mir-281 microRNA precursor family". Lineage: Eukaryota; Metazoa; Arthropoda; Arachnida; Ixodida; Ixodidae. The record is from RNAcentral.